AUUGAACGCUGGCGGCAUGCCUUACACAUGCAAGUCGAACGGCAGCACGGGUGCUUGCACCUGGUGGCGAGUGGCGAACGGGUGAGUAAUACAUCGGAACGUACCUUAUCGUGGGGGAUAACGCAGCGAAAGCUGUGCUAAUACCGCAUACGCCCUGAGGGGGAAAGCGGGGGAUCGAAAGACCUCGCGCGAUUAGAGCGGCCGAUGCCUGAUUAGCUUGUUGGUGGGGUAAAAGCCCACCAAGGCGACGAUCAGUAGCUGGUCUGAGAGGACGAUAAGCCACACUGGGACUGAGACACGGCCCAGACUCCUACGGGAGGCAGCAGUGGGGAAUUUUGGACAAUGGGGGCAACCCUGAUCCAGCAAUGCCGCGUGAGUGAAGAAGGCCUUCGGGUUGUAAAGCUCUUUUGUCAGGGAAGAAACACCGGCUCUAACACAGUCCGGGGAUGACGGUACCUGAAGAAUAAGCACCGGCUAACUACGUGCCAGCCGCCGCAGUAA
Molecule: ribosomal RNA, 501 nt
Filed under: uncultured bacterium
Lineage: Bacteria
Description: partial 16S ribosomal RNA
Rfam family: Bacterial small subunit ribosomal RNA
Source: RNAcentral